This 691-nucleotide ribosomal RNA is filed under the name uncultured bacterium. RNAcentral's name for it is "bacterial SSU rRNA". It matches the Rfam family "Bacterial small subunit ribosomal RNA", at positions 39 to 738 of the family's 1533-position model. The record is from RNAcentral.
GCGGUGCGCCUUAUGCAUGCAAGUCGAGCGAAGCUUUUCAGUAGUUUACUACAGAAAAUGACUGAGCGGCGAACGGGUGAGUAACGCGUGAGCAACCUACCUUAGUUACUGGGAUAGCCCGAGGAAACUCGGAUUAAUACCGGAUAUUCUUAUUUAAUCACAUGAUUUUUUAAGGAAAGGUCAGCCGAACUAAGAUGGGCUCGCGUUCUAUCAGCUAGUUGGUAGGGUAACGGCCUACCAAGGCUACGACGGAUAGCUGGUCUGAGAGGACGAUCAGCCACACUGGGACUGAGACACGGCCCAGACUCCUACGGGAGGCUGCAGCAGGGAAUAUUGUGCAAUGAACGAAAGUUUGACACAGCGACACCGCGUGUGGGAUGACGGAUCUAGGUUUGUAAACCACUUUCAGGAGGGAAGAAAAUGACGGUACCUCCACAAGAAGCCCCGGCCAACUACGUGCCAGCAGCCGCGGUAAUACGUAGGGGGCGAGCGUUGUCCGGAUUUAUUGGGCGUAAAGAGCUCGUAGGCGGUUCAACAAGUCGGUCGUGAAAGUUCAGGGCUCAACCCUGAAAUGUCGAUCGAUACUGUUGUGACUAGGAUACGGCAGAGGUGAGUGGAAUUCCGAGUGUAGCGGUGAAAUGCGUAGAUAUUCGGAGGAACACCAAUUGCGAAGGCAGCUCACUGGGCCGCU